UCUCUGGAACAUAAGUAAUGUAUGUUCCCAGUUUGGAGAAAAUCAAUUGUGUACUUCUGAAGUUAUUCGGGUUUACACACACACGCGCGCACGCACGCACAACCUCACCUUUAUAUAAAUAGAUAAACGAAGCUUUCAGCAUGAAUAAUUUGCUAUUUUUACAUAAACAGAACACGAAAAUGAUUUGUGGCAAAGCAUCAAAAUUGAAAUAGAUAUGAUAUGUCGUUUAAUUCAAGGAAGUAAUGUUUCCAAGUCUGCCAUUUCACUAUUGCCACUGUGAAUUCACCAGAAAUUUCAUAAAACAAUAACGGCUGACAUUUCUGUAGGAAUUAACAUUUCAGGGUCAUUUUGAAUCUGAAGAAUCCAAUGAUCACAGAAAUUAUAAAGAACUCUUAUAUUUAAUCAGAAAAUAUGACGAAAAAUUGGUGAGUCAUCUUUAUACAGCUUCUGUUUCCUCAAGUCUCUCACACAGAAUUCAAAAUGACUUAAUCAAUGCAGUUCAAAAUGAUAUGUUGAUGAAAUAGAAAAUGAACUGAAGUAGGCUAAUAUUCUCAACGGUCAACUGUUUUAUGUUAUGUUACAAAAGAUUGUGUUAUUAAAUAAUGAUUUGUCAGUGUAGCAUGUCUGUACUAGCAUUAACUUAAAACAUAUAUUUUUAAUCUCAAGUAGGCUCAAAUGACACUGUUAGUUUACAGCUCUAUUUGAUCUGUGAUUGGCCGAAUAAACAGGCUCCUUCUAUUACAUCCGAACAGGCUCUCUCUGCUAUGUCUGUUUGUCACUUAUAUACUGUGGCUGCAGCCAUGUCCAUUUGAGUUCCUUCCUUCACUUCCAUAAGGACUCCCGGCUGGUAGUUUUGCUUUAUCGUGUUAGCACUGGCCUCUCUCACACAAGAACAAUUCUUCACCCAUGUGCGUCAGCAGAUUUGACCAAACUCAAUGUUGUUAUCUCUUACAUUUUCUAGAAACAUUUCUAUCAAGCCUCGGUCUUGAUAGAAAGUACAUCAAUGUCCACACACAUUCAUGAACUGCUAUCACACUAGACAUCUCUAUAAGAACACCGCUCACUUCUUCAAUAAUGUGUACCUAACCCACUACUACAAUAAACUUUAUAAUCUUAAAAGUCGAGUUGUUGUAUAUCACCGCACAGCUAUCGAACACAUGAACACAGUUGAUGACUGUCUGCCACACACUUCUAUCAACAAGUACUAUUGCCAACAUCGUCUGUUCAACCAAUGGCUAUGGAGUCAACCCGAUCUGAGAACAACUUUUGUUAAACUAAUAACCAACUGACAACGUUAAGCUGGUGGUAUUCUCAUACCCCCCUACACUAGUCAACCAGGCUGUAGACAUUCUAUUGUGUUAUAGCAACAAGCUACUAAGAUAGUGAACUCACCAUACUGGCGGUACCACCACUAAACUGAUGACCGAACAUUAUGUAAAAUUAGUGGGCUAAAAACUCAUUAUAAAGUGGUGACCCUUGACUAAAGAACACGCUAUACUAAUGACCUAGUACCUUCACUACAGUGGUAACUCCCUUCGCUACACUGAUGACCUUUGAUUAAAGAAAUUUCAGCCUUUUCCGAUGGAAGCCAUGGACUCAACUCCAGUUUCGCAUUUUUCACCUUCAGACAUUUUUGCACCAUUCUUUGUUCCAGGGAGAACUUUUCUGCUCAAAGAUGGUGUACAAACUUUCUCAUAACUGACACAGUUAUGUCCUUUUCU
Long non-coding RNA from Octopus bimaculoides (California two-spot octopus), 1721 nucleotides. RefSeq lists it as uncharacterized. NCBI's taxonomy places the organism in Eukaryota, Metazoa, Mollusca, Cephalopoda, Octopoda, Octopodidae. The record is from RefSeq and is a predicted model, not a curated record.